This 361-nucleotide ribosomal RNA is filed under the name uncultured Methylophaga sp. RNAcentral's name for it is "bacterial SSU rRNA". It matches the Rfam family "Bacterial small subunit ribosomal RNA", at positions 537 to 894 of the family's 1533-position model. Lineage: Bacteria; Pseudomonadati; Pseudomonadota; Gammaproteobacteria; Thiotrichales; Piscirickettsiaceae. The record is from RNAcentral.
AGGGUUUUUCGGAAAUUACUGGGCGUAAAGCGCGCGUAGGCGGUUUGUUAAGUCAGAUGUGAAAUCCCCGGUAAACAAACAGGGAAUGGCAUUUGAGACUGGCAGGCUACAUUGUGGUAAAGGUGAGUGGAAUUUCAGGUGUAGCGGUGAAAUGCGUAGAGAUCUGAAGGAACAUCAGUGGCUUUCCCGACUCACUGGGCCAUUACUGACGCUGAGGUGCGAAAGCGUGGGUAGCAAACAGGAUUAGAUACCCUGGUAGUCCACGCCCUAAACGAUGUCAACUAGGUGUAUGGAGAAUUUAUUCUUUGUGUAUCGAAGCUAACGCGAUAAGUCGACCGCCUGGGGAGUACGGUCGCAAGAC